CGCAGCAGGCGCGAAAACUUUACAAUGCAGGAAACUGUGAUAAGGAGACACCGAGUGCUCGCAUCAAAUGCGGGCUGUCCGCUUACUUAAAUCGUAAGCGUUAGCAAGGGCCGGGCAAGACCGGUGCCAGCCGCCGCGGUAAUACCGGUGGCCCGAGUGGUAGCCGCUUUUAUUGGGUCUAAAGGGUCCGUAGCCGGUUCGGUCAGUCCAUUGGGAAAUCCGGAUGCUCAACAUCCGGGCUUCCAGUGGAUACUGCCGAACUUGGGAUCGGGGGAGGUAAGAGGUACUAUAGGGGUAGGAGUGGAAUCUUGUAAUCCCUGUGGGACCACCUGUGGCGAAGGCGUCUUACCAAAACGAGUCCGACGGUGAGGGACGAAAGCUGGGGGCACGAACCGGAUUAGAUACCCGGGUAGUCCCAGCCGUAAACGAUGCUCGCUAGGUGUCAGGCAUGGCGUGACUGUGUUUGGUGCCGAAGGGAAGCCGUGAAGCGAGCCACCUGGGAAGUACGGCCGCAAGGCUGAAACUUAAAGGAAUUGGCGGGGGAGCACAACAACGGGUGGAGCCUGCGGUUUAAUUGGACUCAA
RNAcentral lists this ribosomal RNA (584 nucleotides) under uncultured archaeon. Its description in RNAcentral is "bacterial SSU rRNA". It matches the Rfam family "Archaeal small subunit ribosomal RNA", at positions 331 to 915 of the family's 1478-position model. The record is from RNAcentral.